GGGUUGUGAGGUUAAGCGACUAAGCGUACACGGUGGAUGCCCUGGCAGUCAGAGGCGAUGAAGGACGUGCUAAUCUGCGAAAAGCGACGGCGAGGUGAUAUGAACC
This 106-nucleotide ribosomal RNA is filed under the name Yokenella regensburgei. RNAcentral describes it as "partial 23S ribosomal RNA". It matches the Rfam family "Bacterial large subunit ribosomal RNA", at positions 1 to 97 of the family's 2925-position model. Lineage: Bacteria; Pseudomonadati; Pseudomonadota; Gammaproteobacteria; Enterobacterales; Enterobacteriaceae. The record is from RNAcentral.